Molecule: long non-coding RNA, 1152 nt
Filed under: Musa acuminata (dwarf banana)
Lineage: Eukaryota; Viridiplantae; Streptophyta; Magnoliopsida; Zingiberales; Musaceae
Description: long non-coding RNA (MACU_LNC002823)
Source: RNAcentral
GGCAUCACGGAUAAUAACAAUGAAAUAUUGAUCAUCAAUGAUCACGUACACAAUAUGGUGGCUGUCUGUGCUGGAGACACGGGGUUGAAGACAACGUCGCCAAGACUUUUAGGCACAAAUCUACAUCUUUAUACUACUUAAGUAUUUACAUGAAAGAUCCUAAAGCAUUAAAAGUCUAAGAUCCUCAUAACGUCGAGAGAGAGAGAGAGAGAGAGAGAGAGAGAGAGAGAGAGAUGACUAUAGCAGAAGAUGACAGCAAACAUACUGCAGAAGGCGACGCCCCCAAGUAUCUCUUCAUCUCCUGCGGUCGACUCUUAAGCAGCAAUACCUGUCGGCAACAGACUAGUGCUGCAAGAAACUAAGCUAUGGAGAGUAGUAAUAACAGAUGGAAAUGAGCAGUAAGAUAAAGCUUAGGAGAAUAUAUAGCAGCCAGAGUAGUUGCACUCAAGCAAGAGAAUAACAUACAAACUACAUAUUAAAAUUAUAAUUAUAUAUAUAUAGUUUUAAAUUGGUAAUUCCUCAUAUUUGUCUUUCUCUUUAAUUCUAUCAACAUUUAUGGCAUUUAUGUUUUUUCUUAUUUCUCAUAUUUACAUUUAUAAUUAAUUCUAUCUACAGCUACAGUGCUUAUCUUUUUCACUUGGCCAAAAUGUGGAGUAAAUAAAUGUACUCAGAAAUGUAAAGGAAGCUUCUCUCUCUUUGCUUGACCAAGUAGACUAUCUGUAGAUGAAUCUCUAAUCAAAUAAAAAAAUAAUUCACAAUUAUUGUUUGAUAAACCGAAGUAUACAAAGUAUGAAAAUUGAAUUGUAGGAAUAACUCUAAUUUCUAAUAUCAAAACAAGGAAGUAAAGUAUGCUUUCAGACAGUCUAAUCCAUGCACAUCAUAAAGAUUGAUAUCAAGACAUCAUUAGGGUCACAUUCUGAAACUAGGCACUCAUGAUUCCACCUCAAGACACUAAACAGUCCAUAUCAGAAGCACAUAAUGGAAUUUAAGCAAGUGCAGUAUGACGAAGAUCAACUGAGAAGCAAGAAAAGAAGGCUAGGUUGUUUAGUCAACAACUUAGAUAUAAACAUUCCUAAGUUGGCCGUACUAGAACUGAGCAAAAAUAUAAAAUUUACUAGAAGUCAAAGUAGUAGAUAAUCAAAUUAUAACUCA